GACGAACGCUGGCGGCGUGCUUAACACAUGCAAGUCGAACGGAAAGGCCCUGCUUUUGUUGGUUUCUCGAUUGGCGAACGCGUGAGUAACACGUGAGUAACCUGCCCUUGUCUUUGGGAUAACUUCAGGAAACUGGGGCUAAUACCGGAUAGGAUCUCUUGCUGCAUGUUGGGGGUUGGAAAGUUUCGGCGGUUGGGGAUGGACUCGCGGCUUAUCAGCUUGUUGGUGUGGUAGUGGCUUACGAAGGGUUUGACGGGUAGCCGGCAUGGGAGCGUGACCGGGGACAAGGGGACUGAGAGACGGAGCAGAAUCGUAUGGGAGGCAGCAGGCGGAAAUAUGACAGAACGAGGGGGAGUGAGAGACGGAAACGCUCGGUGCGUGAAAAUGGGUUAUGAGUGAAGAACCGAUGUCGAAUGAAACGAAGAGGGAGUGACGGUAAUGGGUAAAGAAGCACCGGCUAACUACGUG
RNAcentral lists this ribosomal RNA (468 nucleotides) under uncultured bacterium. RNAcentral's name for it is "partial 16S ribosomal RNA". It matches the Rfam family "Bacterial small subunit ribosomal RNA", at positions 28 to 507 of the family's 1533-position model. The record is from RNAcentral.